Molecule: ribosomal RNA, 497 nt
Filed under: uncultured bacterium
Lineage: Bacteria
Description: partial 16S ribosomal RNA
Rfam family: Bacterial small subunit ribosomal RNA
Source: RNAcentral
GAUGAACGCUGGCGGCGUGCCUAAUACAUGCAAGUCGAGCGAACAGACGAGGAGCUUGCUCCUCUGACGUUAGCGGCGGUCGGGUGAGUAACACGUGGAUAACCUACCUAUAAGACUGGGAUAACUUCGGGAAACCGGAGCUAAUACCGGAUAAUAUAUUGAACCGCAUGGUUCAAUAGUGAAAGACGGUUUUGCUGUCACUUAUAGAUGGAUCUGCGCCGCAUUAGCUAGUUGGUAAGGUAACGGCUUACCAAGGCAACGAUGCGUAGCCGACCUGAGAGGGUGAUCGGCCACACUGGAACUGAGACACGGUCCAGACUCCUACGGGAGGCAGCAGUAGGGAAUCUUCCGCAAUGGGCGAAAGCCUGACGGAGCAACGCCGCGUGAGUGAUGAAGGUCUUCGGAUCGUAAAACUCUGUUAUUAGGGAAGAACAAAUGUGUAAGUAACUAUGCACGUCUUGACGGUACCUAAUCAGAAAGCCACGGCUAACUACGUG